AAGUCGUAACAAGGUUUCCGUAGGUGAACCUGCGGAAGGAUCAUUACCAAAUCCAAAUUCAACCACUUGUGAACUUGUCUUGUAUUGUCUUUUGGGAGGUUUGUCAGGUGAUUUAUUGCCUGCUCUCAAACAUAUACUUGUAUAUGAUUGAGAGCCUCCCAUUAGGCGCGUGUGUGUUGCUGCUGCAAGGCGCCAACACCACAAAAACAUAAACCACAAUUUAAAAUUUCCCAUUUGGUUUUUUUAUUCAAAAAAAACAAAUGACAACUUUUAACGGUGGAUCUCUUGGCUCAU
RNAcentral lists this unclassified non-coding RNA (294 nucleotides) under fungal sp. Its description in RNAcentral is "partial internal transcribed spacer region". The stretch from base 1 to 46 matches the Rfam family "Eukaryotic small subunit ribosomal RNA", at positions 1786 to 1831 of the family's 1831-position model. Lineage: Eukaryota; Fungi. The record is from RNAcentral. RNAcentral also lists the same sequence under 1 other name.